Molecule: RNA transcript, 4544 nt
Organism: Siniperca chuatsi (mandarin fish)
Lineage: Eukaryota; Metazoa; Chordata; Actinopteri; Centrarchiformes; Sinipercidae
Gene name: RNA-binding protein 4.1-like
Exons: 5
Source: RefSeq, a predicted model, not a curated record
UUACCCAAUCAUAGUCCGUAACGUUACGUUUUGAGAGACAUGUCCAUCCACCAAUCAGAUUUCUACUUGUGCGCAUAUCGCCAGCCGGUAUCCACUGUAUCUUUGUCUUAUCUUUUGAGUUUCGACUUCGCUGUGGCGCCGAUCGCGUGCUAAAAGUACACUAGAGCAACAAUGGUGAAGAUUUUCAUUGGGAACCUGUCUCAGCACGCUGGGAAGGAGGAAGUGGAAGCUCUGUUUACGCAGUAUGGCACAGUGACAGAAUGCGCCAAGUACAAAAACUAUGCUUUUGUCCAUAUGGAAGACCGCAAGUCGGCCACCAAAGCCAUUCGUGAGCUCCAUCUGUAUAAGCUGAAUGGCAGGCCCAUCAAUGUGGAGCCCAGCAGAGGGAAGAACCAGGGCCCUGUGAAGCUCCACAUAGCCAAUGUAGAAAAGGGCUUCGAUAAGGAGCUCCGCGAUCUGUUUGAAGAGUACGGCACAGUCACAGAGUGUUCCAUUGUCAAGAACUUUGCCUUUGUGCACAUGUCCAAUUCUGAUGAGGCCAUGGAUGCCAUACAGGGUCUGGAUAACACAGAGUUUCAAGGAAAGCGCAUACAUGUUCAGAUAUCAAAAAGCAGACCCAGAGGGGAACCCGAGGAGGAGGACUAUCCACCUCCGCCUGGCAGAGGAGGCUAUUAUCCUCCUCGCUUCCCAGGGGAGAGGCCUGAGCCUCCCUUCAGAGGCCGCAUGGCCCCUUACCCUCCUCCGCCUCCGCCUAUGUCGUCCCCUCCCCCGAGACGAGGAGCGUAUCCCGACCGUGGCUAUGGCGAGCGAGACGGCUAUGGGGUGGUUGAUUACUAUGAGAAAUUCAGAGCCCGGCCUUACAGCAUGGCAGGCUACGAUGACAGGCGUUCCAGUGCCAUCCCCCCCCCUCCUCCGCCUCCUCCCUCGGCACUGGUUAGAGAACGUCUCGGAAUGGGGAACCUUGACCCAUACGAGCGCCGUCCGCUCCCCCCUCCUCCUCCGCCCUACAUGGUCAGGGACCGAAGCCCCAUCAGACGACCCCCCCCGCCGCCUGCUCCAUCAGCUGGUAACGGGUACUCCUACGAGCGGUCCCGGCUCUCCCCGCUGUCCAGGGGUCCGAUGUAUGCAGCUCCCCGCCCCAGGGACUCCUUCUCAGAGAGAGUGCCGUUGCCGCCACCACCUCGAUAUGCAGGUUAUUAGGCACAUAAGAGUGUAAUACAAGGUUGUUAGACUCUAUGCAGGAGAUUGCCAGCUCAUGGUAAGUUGUCCUCGGAAGAUGUGCAGCAUCAUGUAGAAAAGAGGUAGGUGUUGUUUAAACUUUACUGCAAAACACCUCUUACUAAUGCAAUAAAUUGUCUCCUCUCGUGUUGCAUUCAUACUGCAGUGUCAGAACUUUAAAAUUGUAUUUUUAAAAUCUGGAAACCUUGACAUUUUUUUUUUUUUAAAGGAAGUUUAAAAAAAUCUUUUUUUUUACUCUAGUUUUGCACAUUGCCAAAAUGUUUAAGUGAACAUAAAGACCUCCAUGGAAUUUGUUUUUAUUAAUUGUAGUUUUUAUUUAAUUUUAUUGUUAAUAUAUUGUCCUUGAUGAGGAGUGGGAGUGCUGACCCGGUCUCUUUGUCUGCAGGCCUGUCUCUGCUCUGGUGGCUGUAAUAAGUCUUUCUGAACAUUACAAGCUAGAAAAAGAUGGGACCAGAUGGUCCUGUAGUUAAAGGACGUGGAUUUGGUCCUUCAGUGAAAGUUUGGUCCGUUGGCUGGUGAGCUGGAGUAAACGUCCAGUCCUCAGAAAACCUGCAUGGUUACAUCUUUGUUCUCUGCAGCUGAAUAAUAACAGCAAAAUAACUUAUAUUUCCUGGGUGAAAUACAUGUAUGUAUGUAUGUAUGUAUGUAUGUAUGUAUGUAUGUAUAUAAAUAACUAUAUGUUGUUUUAUUUAUUUUAUGUGUUAUCCUAUUUUAAUAUACAUGGAAUUAUCAGUUAUGUUCUCUCAUCUAAUUAUGUUGUAUAACCUUGUGUUGUAAAAUGAUAAAUAAAUUACCUUGUCCCUUUUUGUAUAAUGGGUUUGAUAGAGGAACAUUUAAUUUGGAUCAAUCCUACAGGUCACAUUGAUCCAUUCUUACAGACUCAAAUCAUCUCAAACUUGACAAAGAGCACCCCAUCUGUCCCACCUGCAAGGGUCCUCUAACCAGCCCUCUUCACCUAAUUCAUGAAUCUGAGAUACGGCUAAAACCAUGAAGUGUUAAAAUUGUGACAGGGUUUUGUUACAGUCCACAUGGCCUGAAAUGUUUACUUGAAACCAUUGCACGAUCUUUUACACACAACUGUUACACCUUUUGUUUUGCUAGCAUAGUAUAAUUACUAUUAUGAACCUAAAACUAUUUCAUACAAAUAUACUGUAGGUUACUGUAUAUAGGCAGUUGCAUCCAAGUAUAUGCAGCACUUAAUUGUUAAAAUGUAUUAAUGUCAUCUUUGAUUUUUAAUAUGGAUAUAGACUUUUUUUUUUACAUUGUCUUUUCAGUAUGAAAAGUUUAAACAUCAUAAAACCUUAGUAAGUACAGACUCUUUUUCUGUCUGAAUUGAUGUCUUCUUCCUACACCUUUUUUUUUUUUUUAAAGAAUGUAGAGUAACGAGGUUACACUUACAAUCUGUUAGAGGCUGUUUGAUACUAAGGGUUUCUAAAUACAUUUUCAAACGUUUGCUGUUAAUCCCAGGUGGCGUAUUGUGAUCUAUCCUGCCCCUCCAAACAUUUAUGGGUUACCUGGGCUGUCUAACGUUUACCUCUAGUGGUCGAGCUAAGAAAGUUCUCCCAGUUUGACCCAACCUCUGUUCUAGUUAACAGUCUCAGUGAAAAUUUAGCCUGAUUUUGAAAUAUGUGGACAACAAAAGAUUCCCCUCAGUGUACAAGGUGUGGGAUAUAAUUACAGACGAACUGGUAUUACAGAAUCCACACUUCUUACUCAAUUCAGCUGUAACAAAAAGCAUCAGAAUUUCAUUACAUGGUGGUAAAUUGUUGGAUCACUCUCAGUCAGUGUCACUGGAUUUAUCAUAAUAUUUGACUAACAUGAUGCUGUGUCUCUUGAUGAGGGAGAAAAGGUGACUAACAAAGGAAAUCUUCCAGAUUUACAAAAGAAUGAGUGUCACUUUCUCUCUCCCCUUUUUGGAAGUGUUGUUUGCUAACUCAAGUUUCUCAGUUCAAAUGAGGUUUCCUUUAAGCACGCUUCCUUCUUGCUGGCCUUGAGUUUCGCAAAGUCAUAGGUGGUGGUUAGAUUCUCAUUACUGUGGUUUGCUGGACCGGUCCAACUGCCACCCGCAUGGCACAUGUCACAUUCUGAACUUUUCUUUUGUACGCAUCAUUCCUGGAGCCCGCUGUAGUUAACAGCUACAAUAACACUGUGAUCGCUCUUCUGCUUCCGCGUGAUAAAGAUCUCGUAUUGAAUUUUCUGCUUGAAAUUAAAUAUAGUAAGAUAAGGAUUCUCGAAUCGGACUGGACUUUGUUCUAAGACCUAUUGUAUAUAGCACCAGUUUCUGGACCUGACCCAACCAGUGUGUCUCUAAGCUUUGAGUUGUCAGACUUGUCUGAGACAGUCCAUGCCUCCAUGAAGUAAUCCACACAUGCAAUCAACAUAACGUUCACUGCCACCGUAAACACACUGGUAGGGUCCCUGUUUCAAGUGACAUCUCUGCCCAAAUUCAUCCCCUAGCACCCAUGGGGCAUGGACUGUCCAACCCCCACUCCUGCCCCACCUGUAAAUCCCAUCCCAGUCUGUCUCACACCCAGACACCGACAUUUUGCCUCCAAAUGACCUUAUUGAAAUGAUCUUAUUACCAUUACACCUACAAUAACUCCAUCCACGCCUCCAUUAUUUCUAUAGGCCCUUUUUCAUCGUUUGAAUUGCUGGCCCUCUGCCUUCUAAUGUACAGACCCCCUAAGCCCAAUAUUCAUUUUUUUAUCAGUGAAUUCUCUGAUCUCCUUUCCCUAAAUGCUCCAAAAUACGACAAUAUUCCCGGACUAAACUCUUCAAAGAAGUCAUUGGCACCACUCCCUGGAAACCAGCCCCCCAUCUCCCAAACAUGCAGUUGUCCAGCCACUUUUAAAAAAACAGAAUCCAGAUCCUUCAGUCCUCAAUAACUACAGACCAAUCUCACUCGCCUUUGACUGUGCCUGAAACUAAUCCAGGUAUUUCCCCUGAAGUCUCUGUAGGUCUGUGUCGUUAUUAUGGGCUCUGUGUGACCAUGUGCCUUAACAAUUAUUAUUAUUAUUAUUAUUGUUAUAAUUACUAUUAUCAUCAUCGUUGUUAUUACUAUGAGCACUCUGAUUUUUCUGCUUGUGUUUGUUUCCUUCCUUUGCUUUAUUUUCCUCUGUGUUUGCCCAAAAAGCACUUUGGAUCAGCUGUGUGUAUAUAAAUAAAUAAAGCUAAAUGAAAGAUGCUGUUAUUACCCAAAUCCAGUAUUACCACGAUACAGCUCUUCACUUUUGCACCUGCGUGCUGUUUUUGUCUGAUCAUGUCGCGCUGAGAGGAGAAUCUGAUAAACAUGUCUGCACACCCUG